Bufo gargarizans (Asiatic toad) is the source of this 3200-nucleotide long non-coding RNA. RefSeq lists it as uncharacterized. The record is from RefSeq and is a predicted model, not a curated record. NCBI's taxonomy places the organism in Eukaryota, Metazoa, Chordata, Amphibia, Anura, Bufonidae. The transcript has 2 exons.
GUUCUUUUUUAUGUCAAAACCAAUUGUGCUUUUUGCUGAAGUUUUGUUUCUCUGUUAGGAACUAACUCUGAUUGCUGUGAAACUAACUACUGUAAGGUUUCUAUUCUCUGUAACCCUGAAUCUUAUCUUUUUGGCACUACUCCCGGACAAUAUUCCUAAUAUGGAAGUUCCGUCUUUGUUUCUCUUUCUCUGACUGUAGAAUGAAAUGUGUUAAUAUGAUAGGUUAAAUACAUAACUUACGAUGAUAUGCUAAUAAAGAGGGUAAAGCCCCCUCUAUAUAACCUGUGUGCAUUAAAAAUAAACCUCAGAGUGUUCAUUCAGUACAUCACUGUUGUGUCUUUUAUUACCUACUGAGUGAAGCGCUCUCCUGACGUCAGAAAAGGACUCAAACCAAGCCGAUACUAGAAGUUUGGUGCCAGGGGUACCAAGUGGGACGUUGAGAUUCCUAUCAGUUUGGGGGCUCGUGUCCGGGGAUCGAGAAGGUUUUCCUCGUGUUCGGUAAGAAAGGCAUCUGUUAUUGUCCUCUGGCCGAUCCGAGAACCACGUCUCGAUCUAGAACCCACCCACCCAUACAGGGUGGGGGAUGAGGUAGUGAUCAAAACACUGAAGAAAGGAAAAUCCCAAGGUGACUUCGCAUAUGGCCCACCCACUACCGUGGUCGCAGUAACCAGAACAGCCGUGCUGACUGAACAAUCUUCAACUUGGAUCCACACCACCCGAGUGAAGCUUGUGAGAGCAAGAGAGGAGGCAGGAACGGAGGCAGACAGCCUUGGCCUUGAAGAAGGACAAGAGGUACUAACGGGGGCAGACAGCCCUGACCUCCAACAAGGCCGAGAGGUACUAACGGGGGCAGACGGCCCUGACCUCCAACAUGAUGAGCUCCUCACUCUUUUCUGGAAAAUGGUUGAAUGUACUGACUAAGAUUGCUUCAAUUAUCUUGUUGAUUUUACCAAUUAGCAGUAUGGGAGAAGUAGCCGCAACUAGCAAGGGCGGCGUCAUCACCUUUUGGUAUAAUUCAUCUAACCCUCACGUAGCUACCUACACCUUUUGUCUUUGUGAUAUAUUGAAAACAUGUUCAUAUUAUAACUACUGUUCCAACAACUAUGUAGAAGGACAGGCCUAUAUAUGUGUAACAGACUCAUACUGGGGAAAAGGUUGUGCAUACUGGGGAUCAGUGGGAUGGAAUACAGGGACUGAAUGGGGAUAUAAACCAGAAAGUGCCCACAAAAGGAGGGAUAAAGAUUCUAAGUCCCUUUUGACUAGAAUGACACUCCUUGAGAGAGGGACGUGUUAUGUGGACACCUCCUCAUUGAAUUAUUGCAAAAAAAGGUCAGCGGAAAUGAAAAUUGUAUUCACAAUAGAAAACCCUGGUAAAUAUGAUGAAGGAGAUUAUGUAUUGGGAUGGUACUUCCAUAAAAUGUGGGGAGCUGCGACUUCCCGGGUAACACAAAUGUUCAGACUUAGAGAUAUGUAGAAGUCUAAGGAAUACCAACCCAUCACAGGUGUCCCCAAAAACCCACUAGUCCCACAUAUAGUUUCUUUAAAAAACCUAAGGGCCAUAUCUGAUCCCACAUAUGAGGAUACUUUGGCCAUGGGGACGGGUUUUUCUGAUGUUAAUUUGUGGCUGGAGUGGAUGAAGUAUAGUGCAGACUCUGUGAAUAAAAGUAACUGCUACAUAUGCGGUGCUGCCAAGCCACACCUAGGUACCGUACCCCUAGUGUUACCUCUGCCAAGCCACACCUAGGUACCGUACCCCUAGUGUUACCAGAAAGUGUUGAAGAAUGUUUUUUUGACUCUUUUUGUUAAUAUGUCUUAUAACCACAGUGCAUGUACAGAAUGGAAAUCAAAAUACCCUCUGUUGUUAAAAAAUCCUUGCCCUGGGGCAGGAAUCCAGGUAUAUCCAGGUAACUACACAUGUUACAAAGGGAGUACACAUGGGAGGAAUGUGCAGAAUUUCACCAAAGGUUAUUGUCACAAAUACAGCAAUCUGAACAUAUCCCUCACUCAGAACCAAGUAUACUCCAUAGGAGAUGUGUACUGGAUCUGUGGAGAUGGAAAAAUAAGAUCCAGACUGGACGGUGCCUGGAAAGGUGAAUGUGCGCUUGCCAAAGUUAUAAUGAACAUGCACAUUUUUACUGAAUCAGAUAUUAUAGAAAAAGGGGUGCUAAAGAUCAACAAAAGAAGCAGCCCCCUUUCAAGUUUUGAUCCCCAUGUGUAUAUAGAUGCAAUAGGUGUUCCAAGAGGGGUCCCAGAUGAGUUCAGAACUAGAGAUCAAGUAGCCGCCGGAUUUGAAUCAAUAUAUUUUCCAUCAUUACUGUGAAUAAAAAUGUGGAUUGGAUAAAUUACAUAUACUACAAUCAGCAAAGGUUUGUAAACUAUACUAGAGAUGCAUUUCAACGGGUAGCAGAAGAACUACAAGCAGACUCAAUCAUGACAUUCCAGAAUCCAACCUCCUGCUGCACAUACAUACCAAAUAAUACUGGCCCCACUGGUAAGGUCACAAUAGCUAUAAAAAAAGCUUGAAGAUCUGUCAAUAGAACUGAAAAAGAACUCAGGUAUAAAUAAUCCCUGGGAUCAAUACUUUGGGUGGUUCACAAGUUAGAAACAAGGUCUCAUGAAACUAGGGAUUGUCAUACUUAUAGUAAUUGUAGUAAUAGGUGUAGUAGCAUUAUGUGUUAUUCCUUGUGUGAGAUGAAUGCUAGAAAAAGGGCUCUCUAAUAUGUCACUAUAUCGGACUACUCUACCCCAGGAGGAUAGAAGCCCAGAUGGGUAUAAGAAUUACCUAAUAUCAUAUAGAGAGAGAAAGGACAAGAAAGGAAAGAACCAUGUAGUGUGACACACUAAAGGUUCUUAAGAGGGGAUUUGAAAGGAAUCCAUGUUCUUUUUUAUGUCAAAACCAAUUGUGCUUUUUGCUGAAGUUUUGUUUCUCUGUUAGGAACUAACUCUGAUUGCUGUGAAACUAACUACUGUAAGGUUUCUAUUCUCUGUAACCUUGAAUCUUAUCUUUUUGGCACUACUCCCGGACAAUAUUCCUAAUAUGGAAGUUCCGUCUUUGUUUCUCUUUCUCUGACUGUAGAAUGAAAUGUGUUAAUAUGAUAGGUUAAAUACAUAACUUACGAUGAUAUGCUAAUAAAGAGGGUAAAGCCCCCUCUAUAUAACCUGUGUGCAUUAAAAAUAAACCUCAGAGUGUUCAUUCAGUA